CUUCUCUCUUUCCAACUGCCUCCCAAAUUCCAACCUUGUCAUGGCAUAAGCGAGACAAGAAAGCUAUUAGAUGCUCUCGUACAUCAGCAGAAGCCAUAGUUAUGAGAGCGAUCAGGACUCUUUUAGCUUCUGCAUCAUCUAGGUAACACGAUAGACUGCUGUUUCCGUACAAACUCGCCAUAGCCUCCAAGAUCCGCUCUUGGAUUAACUUUGUGUCAAGAGGCUUUAGUAACUUCACCAAAAUGCUCUCUAUCACUCUUGGAUCAAAUAUCUUCUCUGAACUCUCUGGUUGUUUGAAAAUCAUUAGAGCAUAGGCAAGAGCUCCAAUUACAUCACCAAUUGGUUCCGUUAGACGAGGGGAUUGUGAUACUUCUCCAAGAUAUAUAAUUAAAUGGCUCAUCCCACCAAACACAUUCGCCAACGCUCCAGUUGCAUGUUCUUGUAAAGCUUGUCCAUUUUCUCCCUGCAUACACUCUUUCGAUGGAGCAACAAUGGCUCCAAUGAGAGCAUUAACACCUCCUGCAUCUUUAACGCAUUUCUUAGCUUCAUCGGAUCUUGAUGAAAGAGCUUCCAAAGCAUCUGCUGCACUAGCACGGACUUUGGUAUCAUUUUUCUGUUCCAAAAGCUGUACCAGAGACUUGACAACCCCAGAAUUUAAUAUUUUCUGGAUAAUAUCACAAAAGGACAGCACAAGACGAGCCAGGAGAGACGCAGCAUUUGCCUGAGAAUUAGGAUUGUCAGAUGACAAAAGAGACACGACUAUGUCUAUACCACUACCCUCAAGUACCACUCUCCAAUAACCAUCAUCCACACCACAGAGAUUCCUCAAAGCUCCAGUAACGUACCCUUCAACCACUCUAUCCUGCUUUCCUUUCAAGCUAAGUUGAUCCCACAAAGUCGGCACCACACCUUCUGUGAUAAAUAUCUUCAUGCCAAUGUGAUCAUCGGAAACUCCAGCAGAAGAAACCUCAUAUAUAGCCUCUGCCGCUGCUUUCCUAGUAUCAAUGGUUCCGGACUUCAAAACCGAGAGUAACGGAGGGAUGCAUCCUCCUAGAAGCACUUUGAGUCGCAACUCCUUGUCUUUGCAUAAAACACAAAGGAUAGAAGCGACGUUGACUUUGGCCAAAGCCGUCCCAUUUCUAAGCAUGGAAAUGAACAAAGGCAUAGCUUGGGGAUACGAACCAAUCAGCCUCCUUGCCUCCUUUCUGCUUUUCGCAAUACCAAGUAGACGAGCUGUAGUGAGCUCUUUGUCUUGCGGAGAAGAUGCUUUGCUGUGGAGUUGCUCUAUGAGCUGAGCAACCGUAGCCAUUGCCUUCUCUGGAUCGUCCAUUUCCAUUUUCACAUCGCCUUCCCUGCACAUAUUUAGGCAAUGAGUACGUCUUCAGUUGUCAGAAAAUGAAAACAUGCCUACCUGGAUUGAGAGGAAGACAAAGUUUCCUCCAGAGCCACAGGAAGAAAUGUCUUCAACAUCUGCAUAAUCAUUCGCCUUUAAUCUUCCUUCAGCCUUUUGGUAAACCUAAAAGAAAAGAAGAAGAGCCCUUUAAAAACUGCAAGCACAAACCAGAUUAUCUUUACACCUACACUAGAGACUCUAUACGAAAAUCAAAACUCAUCCAGUGCCUAAAGACCCCACCUUUAGCUCAAAUAAUAAACCCCUCCUCCGCCUUGCAUCACCGAGAAAUCUCUAAAUUUGAAACUCAGCGAUUCUGUAGAUUCAAAAGAAGGUUCGUGAAUCAGAAACGAAACGAAACGAUAGAAUCCCUAGGGCAGAAAGUAGAAUCGAGGAACUAAGAAUGGAUUCGAUUGGGGAGUUAACGAGUGAAAAUCGGGAACGAGCAUUACGAUUUUGAAGGACGAGGUGGAAGCUACCACGAGAAUCUCCUUUCUCUCCUUUUUAGUCGCUGUCGAUAUCGAAAGUGGUGAAUGAAUGAGCUCGAAUGAGGAAGAAGAAGAACGUACGAGCAGUGAGAGAGAGAAGAGAACAGUCCUUUUUAUUAUUGUUUUUUUUUUUACUUUCCUUAAUAAUACAUUUUAUUUCCCCCAUCCCCUUAAUUAUCCUUUGUUAAUUAAUUAUUUUUUUUGUUUAAAUUGUCCAGUUUUCGUAAUCUCAAAUUUAUUGUUAAUGUAUAACAUUUGAGAUUAUAAGUAUUGUAUAAAAUGGAUGAAAUUGAAAUAACAUUCGUAAUUUCAAAUUCUUAUAGUUGAAAAACAAAACUUGUAUGACUUUUUAUAGAAAGAUUGAUGGGAAAUCUGAUUGUUGAAUAUUCCACGGCAGCCAUAAAUUUAAUGAAUCAAUUAGGGUAUAAUUAAUUAUGUAUUUUAUCUUAAUAAGUUACUCUUUCUAUAUAUAUAAUCAGAUAACGUACACAAGAGAACUUUUUCAUUUUACUUUAUUUAACACAUUGUGUAUGAAUCACAACUUUCAGUUGAACUUAGCAGGAUUGGAAGUUGGAGCAGUCCAACAUUGUUUUAUACCGAGUUUUAACGCAAGUUGGAGCAGACCAAAAAUACGUAUAUAAAAUAGUUUUCUUAAAGGUUUAUAAAAUGAAAAAAUGUUAGUAUAUUUGAUAAUUUUUGUAACAAGGUGAACAAUUAUAUAUGUGUGAUGUGUCAAUGGAUCUUUGUCUUCACGCUUGAGUAUUGUCCACUAUCACUCAGUUUAUUAACUCAGAAACCAAAUAUUACUGAAUAAUUUUAUCUUUGUGUUUGCAUAUCAUAUAUUGCUACUUCAAAAUUCAAGUGUGAUAUCUUCAACCAAAAAUAAUCAAAUGUGAUACAACAAUUUAGAUCGUAAUAACAAAUAUUAUUCAUCUUGUACAUACUCAAGAAACCUCCCACGCAACACAUGCUCCUAUAGAAAAAUAUUUUACAUGGGCAGAAUAAGAUUCAGCUCAUAGUUUUAAUUUAACCAAGGCGUGAUCCUCGGAUCGGCCCCCUCAGUUUUGUUAAACUAUGAUAUGUUUGUUCAAGACUGAACUCGUUUAUAUAUAUUUGUAUAUUUCCUCUCGAUCCAUGCAAUGAGUUAACUAUUUUCUAUUAGCAUUAUAACUAUAUAAGUAUUGACAUAUAUAUAGCUGUAAAUUAAGUCGGUCAAAGAGAGAUUGUUGUCUUGGUUUUGACAAACAAGUUUAAACACAUCUCUAUGUAUGUGGACAACAGAGUUACAGUAUUUAAUAUAUCAAAUAUGAACUUUCUGUGUAGUAUAGAAAAUAUAAAAUGAAAUAAAACUAUAAACGAAUUUGGAUUGUUUUGUUGCUAUUUGAAGACAUGAAUAAUAAAUUAGUAUAAAGUGUGAAGAUAGAUUGAUUGUAAAAUUGAAAGUGAAAGCUGGAAGAGCAACAACAAAACAUAGCUAACAUGGGUUUAAAACCCCACUUCCCAGUGAGACUGAUUGUCUCUAUCAUUUCCAGUUCGCAACAAAUAUGUCUGGCCCCCAUACUUUACUACUCUGUACGUAUAUUAAUACCACGUCCAAUCUUCUUCUCUUUAAUGAAAUAUAUGCAAAUGCACUUGUAUUUAAAAAGAAUUCGAUAUAAAUAAUUGGAUUCCUUCUCUCUUCCCAACUGCCUCCCAAAUUCCAACCUUGUCAUGGCAUAGGCGAGACAAGAAAGCUAUAAGAUUCUCUCGUACGUCAGCAGAAGCCAUAGUUAUGAGAGCGAUUAGGACUCUCUUAGCUUCUGCAUCAUCUAGGUAACACGAUAGACUGCUGUUUCCGUACAAACUCGCCAUAGCCUCCAAGAUCCGCUCUUGGAUUAACUUUGUGUCAAGAGGCUUUAGUAACUUCACCAAAAUGCUCUCUAUCACUCUUGGAUCA
Molecule: long non-coding RNA, 3814 nt
Filed under: Brassica napus (rape)
Lineage: Eukaryota; Viridiplantae; Streptophyta; Magnoliopsida; Brassicales; Brassicaceae
Description: long non-coding RNA (BNAP_LNC006185)
Source: RNAcentral